This 288-nucleotide long non-coding RNA is filed under the name Elaeis guineensis (African oil palm). RNAcentral describes it as "long non-coding RNA (EGUI_LNC082229)". The record is from RNAcentral. Lineage: Eukaryota; Viridiplantae; Streptophyta; Magnoliopsida; Arecales; Arecaceae.
GUUCAGUCUAAGCACAAAUCAAGUGUAACAGGGUAGCUUGGCCUUACUAACCUGUGAUACAAUCCAGGGUUCUCAUAAUUGGUAUUUGCACCCUUGCUCACAACUUGUUUGCUGUUUGGGACUCGAAACAAUGAUGAAAGAAAAGUGGCUGGCCUACUAAUCUUUCAUACCCAGAAUUCUGCCUAAAUUUGCUAACAUUUAGCUUGAGACAUCCAUUAGGCUUGUGAAGCCAUUGAGCAAGGAUGACAACUACGGCUCUAACUAGUAACAAUGUGAUUCAAAAGGUCA